UGCUGACGGUGCAUGCAACCUGCUUU
This 26-nucleotide non-coding RNA is filed under the name Homo sapiens (human). Lineage: Eukaryota; Metazoa; Chordata; Mammalia; Primates; Hominidae. The record is from RNAcentral.